CCCAGCUCAGGGUUGCACCUGGAGAGUUUCCAGUCCUCUACCAGUCUCAGCUAUGGGAGGGAGAGUCAGGCAGAGGCCUAUCCAUUCGAUUCCUAGCUUGGGUAGUGGCUAGCGAGUGGAAGGCAAUCUGCUACAAGU
Molecule: non-coding RNA, 138 nt
Organism: Ornithorhynchus anatinus (platypus)
Lineage: Eukaryota; Metazoa; Chordata; Mammalia; Monotremata; Ornithorhynchidae
Source: Rfam